Molecule: RNA transcript, 1881 nt
Organism: Panicum virgatum (switchgrass)
Lineage: Eukaryota; Viridiplantae; Streptophyta; Magnoliopsida; Poales; Poaceae
Gene name: protection of telomeres protein 1b-like
Exons: 10
Source: RefSeq, a predicted model, not a curated record
AAACGUCGCAUUUGUCACCUGGGAACCCGUACACUGAGCACGCUCCAGUCGCUCACGCGGGCUAUGGAGGAGGCCGCAGCAAGGGAGCGGAAGAGGCCGCGCGAGGGCGACGCGGCUCCUUCCGCCGCGGCGGCGGCGGGGGCGGGGAAGGCGCAGUACGUGUACCUGCCCGUCGCCGACGCCCUCAAGGCCCCCGGCGCCAGGGUCUUCCUCUUCGCCGCCGUCUCCGAGAUCGGCGCCGCCGUCCGCAGCCGUGGCACGGAUUUCACUCUUACAUUGAGGGUUGCAGAUCAAUCACGUCCAGCUGGGAUCUCUGUAACAUUUUUUGCUGACAAUGUCGCCUUGUUGCCCUGUGUUAAGGCAAGCGGAGAUGUGAUCAGUCUUCAUAAUGUCGUGAUAACAAUGCAUGGAGAAUUUUUUGUUACAUUUAACAAGAAAUUUUCUUCAUUCGCCCUAUUUGAGGGCAAGGUAUCUACAGAGUGCAGCCCAUAUCAGACUUCUACAAAAUAUUAUGGGACCCAAUAUGAUAAUGAACUUUUGACCCAGAUGAGAACGUGGCUUGCUUAUAAUCCUCCAGGUCUGAAAGAUCUUGAAUUGCAGUUAAGGAGUUUAAAGUCCGAUACUACUUUUGAUUUAGUAUGCAAGGUUCUUCAUGUCUAUGAAAAUAACGGUGAAUGGAUAUUUUAUGUUUGGGAUGGAACUGAUACCCCUGCAGCUGAGUUUCAGGCAAUUUUGGAUGCUGAGGCGGUUGAGUCAUCCCCUUUACAUCUGGAAGGAGUGCCUCUACCAAGGGAGGUUUUAUGCACAAUGCCAUGCGUCGGAACUGUUCUAAGGGUUUUCACGAACAGGUAUAUCAAGGAAGUAUUUCACUUGCAAAAGAAUAUUUACUGGGCCAGGUUCUGCAAUAUAACUUGCAAGCAAGAGUUUGGGAUUUGGAAAGGCAUUUUAGGGCCCUCUAGCAGAGUUCGCCUUUUAUCUCAUGAAGAUGGCAGCGUUGUUGAUCGCAUGAACCGCAUCGCCAACCAAGUUCAUCGGCAGCCGAUGGCGAGCCUCCCUGGGGCAUCUAACAUUGCUGAUGUAGAAUAUGAGGCAGCAGGUUACACAACGUUAAUGGAGUCUUUAACUCAUGAACAGGUGACGCACAAAUUCAAAACCCUGGUCCGUGUUGUGGCAGCAUAUCCAUGUCGAGCUAGUGAACUCCGUUUGCUUUUGACUGGUAGCUAUUGUCUUCGGUUGACUCUUGAGGAUCCUACAGCGAGAAUUCAUGCAUACGUCCACAAGGAUGACGGGGUAAUAUAUUACUAAAUCACUCAUAUGUUUGAUUGCUUGAUGCUUCGCCUACAGUGGCUUCACUCUUAUGCCAAAUUCUUCGGUGGUUUUCUAACAGCAGAAGCGUUGAUAAAGAAGAUGAACAAGCUACUGGGCAUCCCAGAAGAGGAUGAGGAAGGCACUCCCUUGACCAGGAACCCACCUUGGAUAUGGUGUUGCGUGAAAUCUUACCGUCUGGACAAAAACGACCCCUGGGGCAGCAGAAGAUAUCGAAUCUUUGGCACAGAGAUCAGGGAUUGAGUAGGGAUGCUGCUUUGUUUUUUUGCUAGUAGGGAUGCUGCUUGAAUAUGCCUGGAAAACCCUUGCAAAUGAUUCCCAUUCAUAUUGUGUACUAUUUGUACGCGCUUAGCACUCCUUUUAGUUUGCCAACUACUGUUGUGCCUAGGACUAAGAAUUAGCAUGUUGUUGCAGUACCUUUGCUGGCUUGCUUGUGUACAGUCCCAUGUAGAACACUAGUAUCUUGCUGCACUCUGUAAUCUGUAUCUGUGAAUCCCCUGUAUGCUAAUUAUCUAAUGAGAUGUAAUUGGAAACCCUCCAAUUUCCCCCGGCGAA